UGAAAUGCAUUGAUGGACUUAGUAGGAUAAGGAAUUAAGCUUGCAGAGAGCCGGUGGAUGGUGCGAACCGGCAGCCAACCUUAGACCGAAUUACCGUCCGGAGCAGCGGAAGGGAACCUCGGAACGGCAUGUCACAGCCGCCCGUCAGUAGCUUCCGAUCGGGCAGCAGCCCGUUAUCCGAUGAAGUGAAAGCUUCGGUAACGAACCUCGGUGAAGGAAGUGCAGUUUCUUCUAUGAUACCGUUUCGUUUGCCGGGCUUUAAUUAGGGUGGUACCGCGAGCAAAGCCUUCUCGUCCCUUGG
This 301-nucleotide non-coding RNA is filed under the name Paenibacillus sp. RNAcentral describes it as "T-box sequence". It matches the Rfam family "T-box leader". Rfam says of the family: Uncharged tRNA acts as the effector for transcription antitermination of genes in the T-box leader family. T-boxes are found upstream of many aminoacyl-tRNA synthetase genes and some amino acid biosynthetic genes usually in Gram-positive bacteria. The record is from RNAcentral. Lineage: Bacteria; Bacillati; Bacillota; Bacilli; Caryophanales; Paenibacillaceae.